This 24-nucleotide non-coding RNA is filed under the name Cricetulus griseus (Chinese hamster). The record is from RNAcentral. Lineage: Eukaryota; Metazoa; Chordata; Mammalia; Rodentia; Cricetidae.
AGGAUUUGAAGGGAUGAGGAAUGU